RNAcentral lists this ribosomal RNA (497 nucleotides) under uncultured bacterium. RNAcentral describes it as "partial 16S ribosomal RNA". It matches the Rfam family "Bacterial small subunit ribosomal RNA", at positions 28 to 507 of the family's 1533-position model. The record is from RNAcentral.
GAUGAACGCUGGCGGCGUGCCUAAUACAUGCAAGUCGAGCGAACAGACGAGGAGCUUGCUCCUCUGACGUUAGCGGCGGACGGGUGAGUAACACGUGGAUAACCUACCUAUAAGACUGGGAUAACUUCGGGAAACCGGAGCUAAUACCGGAUAAUAUAUUGAACCGCAUGGUUCAAUAGUGAAAGACGGUUUUGCUGUCACUAAUCGCUGGUUCCCCGCCGCAUUAGCUAGUUGGUAAGGUAACGGCUUACCAAGGCAACGAUGCGUAGACGACCUGAGAGGGUGAUCGGCCACACUGGAACUGAGACACGGUCCAGACUCCUACGGGAGGCAGCAGUAGGGAAUCUGCCGCAAUGGGCGAAAGCCUGACGGAGCAACGCCGCGUGAGUGAUGAAGGUCUUCGGAUCGUAAAACUCUGUUAUUAGGGAAGAACAAAUGUGUAAGUAACUAUGCACGUCUUGACGGUACCUAAUCAGAAAGCCACGGCUAACUACGUG